UGCGCAAUUUCCUUUUUCUUUAAAAAAACUCAGCGUAAAGAAAAAAAAGAAAAGAAGAAAAAACUCCCGUCUCGUCUCCGCUCCAGCGAGUUCGCCCACCGCCUGCGCCGAUUUCCAUCUCCCGAGCGAGCAGAGCAGGAGCAGGAGCAGGGGCGCCGUCGUCCUGCUGCUUCAGCCACAUCCCGGUUGUUGUGUCUCGGUAUCAGUAGUGAUGGGGAAGAAUGUGAAGGUGAAGGCCAAGAACCUUGGGAUUCAGCUUUCCGAAUGGGCGGUUUAAUGGCUCUCAAAUCACAUAAUUAUUUUUAGUUCAGAAACAGAAAUGUUUGAAGUACAGGUAUUAGCCUAGUUGAGCAAUUAUUUUGAACAGCAUCCUAUGAUAUUGAUGCUGUUGCUAACAAAAUUGUCGUUAGCGAAAGUUCAUAUCUGGCAAACCAACCAUUUGACAUUAGUUAGUUUGGCUUCAGUGAAUCAUUCAUAACUUGUGAAGCACUUCAUUUGCUGGAGGAAAGUACACUGGAGCUUUCUACCACCC
This 532-nucleotide long non-coding RNA is filed under the name Oryza sativa Indica Group (long-grained rice). Its description in RNAcentral is "lncRNA OsIR64_09g0015360". The record is from RNAcentral. Lineage: Eukaryota; Viridiplantae; Streptophyta; Magnoliopsida; Poales; Poaceae.